Molecule: ribosomal RNA, 497 nt
Filed under: uncultured bacterium
Lineage: Bacteria
Description: partial 16S ribosomal RNA
Rfam family: Bacterial small subunit ribosomal RNA
Source: RNAcentral
GAUGAACGCUGGCGGCGUGCCUAAUACAUGCAAGUCGAGCGAACGGACGAGAAGCUUGCUUCUCUGAUGUUAGCGGCGGACGGGUGAGUAACACGUGGAUAACCUACCUAUAAGACUGGGAUAACUUCGGGAAACCGGAGCUAAUACCGGAUGAUAUUUUGAACCGCAUGGUUCAAAAGUGAAAGACGGUCUUGCUGUCACUUAUAGAUGGAUCCGCGCUGCAUUAGCUAGUUGGUAAGGUAACGGCUUACCAAGGCAACGAUGCAUAGCCGACCUGAGAGGGUGAUCGGCCACACUGGAACUGAGACACGGUCCAGACUCCUACGGGAGGCAGCAGUAGGGAAUCUUCCGCAAUGGGCGAAAGCCUGACGGAGCAACGCCGCGUGAGUUAUGAAGGUCUUCGGAUCGUAAAGCUCUGUUAUUAGGGAAGAACAUAUGUGUAAGUAACUGUGCACAUCUUGACGGUACCUAAUCAGAAAGCCACGGCUAACUACGUG